GCUUACGGCCAUACCACCCUGAACACGCCCGAUCUCGUCCGAUCUCGAAGCUAAGCAGGUCGGGCCUGUUAGUACUUGGAUGGGAGACCGCCUGGGAAUACCAGGUGCUGUAAGCU
RNAcentral lists this ribosomal RNA (116 nucleotides) under Labrus bergylta (ballan wrasse). Lineage: Eukaryota; Metazoa; Chordata; Actinopteri; Labriformes; Labridae. The record is from RNAcentral.